GGGCGGUUAGCUCAGUUGGUUAGAGCACUUGCUUUACACGCAAGGGGUCACAGGUUCGAGUCCUGUACCGCCCACCA
RNAcentral lists this transfer RNA (77 nucleotides) under Dehalococcoidales bacterium. RNAcentral's name for it is "tRNA-Val". It matches the Rfam family "tRNA". Rfam says of the family: Transfer RNA (tRNA) molecules are approximately 80 nucleotides in length. Their secondary structure includes four short double-helical elements and three loops (D, anti-codon, and T loops). Lineage: Bacteria; Bacillati; Chloroflexota; Dehalococcoidia; Dehalococcoidales. The record is from RNAcentral. RNAcentral also lists the same sequence under 1 other name.